This 253-nucleotide ribosomal RNA is filed under the name uncultured bacterium. RNAcentral's name for it is "partial 16S ribosomal RNA". It matches the Rfam family "Bacterial small subunit ribosomal RNA", at positions 524 to 776 of the family's 1533-position model. The record is from RNAcentral.
UACGUAGGGGGCUAGCGUUGUCCGGAAUCAUUGGGCGUAAAGCGCGUGUAGGCGGCCCGAUAAGUCCGCUGUGAAAGUCCAGGGCUCAACCCUGGGAUGCCGGUGGAUACUGUCGGGCUCGAGUCCGGAAGAGGCGAGUGGAAUUCCUGGUGUAGCGGUGAAAUGCGCAGAUAUCUGGAGGAACACCGGUGGCGAAGGCGGCAUCCUGGACCGGUAUUGACGCUGAGGCGCGAAAGCCAGGGGAGCAAACGGG